Molecule: long non-coding RNA, 3661 nt
Organism: Haplochromis burtoni (Burton's mouthbrooder)
Lineage: Eukaryota; Metazoa; Chordata; Actinopteri; Cichliformes; Cichlidae
Product: piggyBac transposable element-derived protein 4
Exons: 5
Source: RefSeq, a predicted model, not a curated record
GGCAGAGAGCAGGAGACACGUGGUUUGAUAAAGAGAUAAAUUGCGGCUCGGGCUCAUUAACGACCUCUCUUCCUUGUUGCGGUGAUGCAGGUCGGACGUGAGGUGCUGGAGAGACGAGAACUGACGAGGAUUUCAGAACCUGGGUGUGUCCAAGGUGAUGGAUCCUUCAUGAGCUCUGGCUGCUGGGUUUCCUCAGGUGGAAAUGUUGUGAUUUUAACCUGUUAGCAGUCGGACGUACCGCCCACGGUACAUUGGAUGGUUUAGGGGACUAAUUGGUUACGUACAAAAACUUAUCAAAAAAGAAGCUAAACAUGUUAUAUAUAUUUGGAAAGCUGAGAUUCUCGUGAUUCGAACGAUGUAAAGCAUUUCAAGAUAGAAUCAACAUAGCAGGUACAAUUAGUGUUUAUGUCAGGCUGCCAACAUCGAAAAAAAACAAUAACAAUAAGGUCUGUACUCACAUAUAAAGCCCUGUUAGUCCACUGGUUCAUAAUAUUCCAACAAAAACGGUGUAGUUAGACUGCCAAGAGUCCAGGCAAUCCAAAUCAGUCCAAUAUUUAGUCUCUGAGACAUUUAUAUGUUGAUAAACAUCCACUGAAUGUAAUAGUAUUGUUUCAAAGUAGCCGGCGAAUAAUCCUAUUUUCGGUGCUUCCUGAAGCAUUAGCAGAUCUUGACAUGUAAAUAUUCCGGGUAUUUUGAUUUCAAAAUGGCCGCUGACCUCUGCACUUUCGAUUGACACCUCAUUUGAACCAAUGGGUGCUUCACACAGGUGUGAACAAGCAGCGAUAGCCAAACACAGCUGGUGGUCAGCGGUCUGGCCAGCCCCCCUUUGAUGGGCAGUAACUUCUUCCAAUUGUGGCAGAGUGUCAAAAUGAUUGGCGUAUCAGAUAGCCAAUGAUCUUUAAAGAAGAUUGAUAUGCAGCUUAAGGGGGAGGACACUUGUUUUUCCCCUUUUAUUUGCAUGCGCAAAAGGUUUUUGUCACUCGUGCGCUUUUGCGUAAACUUUCAUAGCGACGACAGCACUCGUGCGCUUUUGCGUAAACUUUCAUAGCGACGACAGCGUCUGUGUUCAUACAGCAUUUUGAGAGAACUUGCGACCAAAGGAGCUUUGUAAGUACAAAAUGGCAAAGAGGAAAACUUACUUCUCACUGGAAGAAGUCCUCGAACAAUGCACUCGGCGUGACAGUGAUCAGUCGGAGGAAGAUAUUUCCGAAGAAGACAGUGAUGUUUCCUUUGUUGACUCGGUAGCAGAGGAUAUUUUUUUGGAUGGAGGAGACGCUACUCUCGACAUUACAGAGGAACACGAUGACAGCAUUUCGUCAGAAGAGGAGCCACAUCCUUCCACUUUCCAAAGAGUUUCUGGAAGCAGAAGGCCAAGAGGGAGGGGAAGAGGGAGAACUGGCAGCAGUCAAGCUGAGAUGCCAGCCAGUACAUCUGAAGAGGGAUGGAAUGAUACAGAUGCUCCAGACAUAAUACCACCACAGCCCACCUUCAGGCCCAUCAAAUCACCAGGACCUCAGAUCAUACCUACAGCUUCAUACACACUUUUACAGCUUUUUCAACUUUAUUUCACAAACUCCAUGUUGCUGACAAUAAUUAAAAACACAAAUGACUUUGGAUCAACAUGCCACAAGCCCUCUAACCCAUGGAUUGACUUGACUUUACAGGACAUGUAUGCUUUUAUGGCCAUGGUGAUUUAUAUGGGUCUGGUCAAACUCCCUGCAAUCACUGAUUACUGGCGAGGUAGUAAACUGUACAGCCUUCCAUUCCCUAAAAAAAUAAUGUGUGGUAAGAAGUUUCAAAGGAUCUGCCGCUCCCUUCACCUAAGCAGUUUGGAGGACAAUGCUGCUAAUGAGCAGAGAAGAGGUACGGCAGAUUUUGACCGUCUCUGCGAAAUAAAACCAUUAUACACGGAGAUGAGGGAGGUCUGUAAAAUACACUAUAACCCUGGCCAAGAAAUUUCCAUUGACGAGCGAAUGGUUGCCUCCAAAGCACGUAUUGGAAUAAAGCAAUACAUGAAAAAUAAGCCUGUUCGCUGGGGAUACAAACUUUUUGUUUUGGCAGAUUCGAGCAACGGAUAUACAUGGGACUUUUUCGUGUAUGAAGGGAAGCUGCAGGGAAACAGUGGCAAGGGACUAAGUUAUGAAUCCGUGAUGGAGCUUAUCGAUACACGGUUGCUUGGCACAGGAUACAAACUUUUUGUAGAUAAUUUUUAUAGUAGUCCCUCCCUUUUCUGUGACCUCCUUCAGAAGAGGAUCUGGGCAUGUGGAACAAUACGAACAAAUAGAAUUGGAUUUCCAAAAACCAAAAAAAAUUGCCUGGACUCUAAAUCUCCCCGUGGCAGCAUAAGAUGGAUCCGAAAGGACUCCCUUCUCUUCGUUCAGUGGCGAGACACAAGGGAUGUGUUCCUGUGCUCAACCCUCCACACAGCCCAUGCUGGGGACACUGUUCAAAGGAGAGUUAGAGAUGCAGAUGGACACUGGGUGCUGAAAGACAUCUCUGUUCCACCAGCAGUGAAGGAGUAUAAUCGGUGCAUGGGUGGGGUGGACCACUCCGAUGCCUUGAUAAACUACUAUAAAGUCAUCCACAAGACUCAGAGGUGGUAUAAGACAUUUUUUUAUCAUUUUCUGGACAUUGCUGUUGUGAAUGCCUUCCUGCUUCACAAGAGCAUCACAAAGGGUAAAGGAGAGGUACCCAUGCACCAAAAGGCUUUUCGGGAGACACUUAUUGAGGAGCUGGCAGUGGCAGCUGGCAGCCUUGCUCCAUCGCCCGCACCAUCACCCUCUCCAAACAGAGCACAUCACAAGCCUGUGCAUAUCAGUGGACACAGCACCACAGGUCGUCUGAGGUGCAGACACUGCCAGGCAAAGACACCAGUAAAGUGCUCCUCCUGUGAUGUGCCUUUGUGCUUUUUGCCAAGUCGAGAUUGUUAUAAAGACUGGCAUGAUGCCAAUGAUCUCUAAAAAAUAUAAUUGUAAAAAUACAUUUGUGUGAAAAACUAUAUAUAUAUUUAUACACCCACAGAUGCAUAUACAUAAUGUGUAUAUAUAGUGAGUUUUAAUGCCAUAAUAAUUUUUUUUCCCUUUACAAAGGGCCAUUUGGAGUCUCCAAGUGGCCUUUUUUGGGUAGCGCCUAUACAUAGACCUAAAUAAACUUGCAUAGAACACUCAUUUUCUAAGAUAUUGUUAUCAAAUUUGAAUUGUGGCUUGGUAAGGCUUCAUGCUUUGAUCCUGUUGUGUUUUCCAGCUAAUACCUCACAAGGUAGGCAUCUGCAUGCAUUCCUUACAAAAAAAAACUUGGGCGGAUUUUUUUUUCUCUCUUUUUUAGUGUGUUCAAAGUUCUAUUACUCAAUAGCAGUAUGACAUAAAGUGAUUCUGACACCUCAGGAACAAACUACAGAUUGUCUCCUUUCAAAAGAGACCAAAACCAUGCAUAUACUCCAAAUGGUUCAAGAGCAGCAUGCAAUUUAUUUUGGAUAUGCCUUUUUCACAAAUUUUAGGCAAAAUUUGUAGGACUGCUAAGGGGUUAAAGUAUUAAAUGUAAUUUAUUUCAAUUAAAUCUUUGUUUACUGACAAAUACAACUCUCUUGAUCUAUAUUUCAGUGAUGACAAUUUGUAGUAGGUACAUCUGUGUGUUCAAUAAAGCAUCUUUUUUGUAAAUCAAA